GGGCUCGUAGCUCAGUUGGUAAGAGCGCACGCCUGAUAAGCGUGAGGUCGGAAGUUCGAAUCUUCCCGGGCCCA
RNAcentral lists this transfer RNA (74 nucleotides) under Phycisphaerales bacterium. RNAcentral's name for it is "tRNA-Ile". It matches the Rfam family "tRNA". Rfam says of the family: Transfer RNA (tRNA) molecules are approximately 80 nucleotides in length. Their secondary structure includes four short double-helical elements and three loops (D, anti-codon, and T loops). RNAcentral also lists the same sequence under 1 other name. Lineage: Bacteria; Pseudomonadati; Planctomycetota; Phycisphaerae; Phycisphaerales. The record is from RNAcentral.